This 1373-nucleotide ribosomal RNA is filed under the name uncultured bacterium. RNAcentral describes it as "bacterial SSU rRNA". It matches the Rfam family "Bacterial small subunit ribosomal RNA", at positions 13 to 1381 of the family's 1533-position model. The record is from RNAcentral.
UUGAUCCUGGCUCAGGAUGAACGCUAGCUACAGGCUUAACACAUGCAAGUCGAGGGGCAGCAUGGUCUUAGCUUGCUAAGGCCGAUGGCGACCGGCGCACGGGUGAGUAACACGUAUCCAACCUGCCGUCUACUCUUGGACAGCCUUCUGAAAGGAAGAUUAAUACAAGAUGGCAUCAUGAGUCCGCAUGUUCACAUGAUUAAAGGUAUUCCGGUAGACGAUGGGGAUGCGUUCCAUUAGAUAGUAGGCGGGGUAACGGCCCACCUAGUCUUCGAUGGAUAGGGGUUCUGAGAGGAAGGUCCCCCACAUUGGAACUGAGACACGGUCCAAACUCCUACGGGAGGCAGCAGUGAGGAAUAUUGGUCAAUGGGCGAGAGCCUGAACCAGCCAAGUAGCGUGAAGGAUGACUGCCCUAUGGGUUGUAAACUUCUUUUAUAAAGGAAUAAAGUCGGGUAUGGAUACCCGUUUGCAUGUACUUUAUGAAUAAGGAUCGGCUAACUCCGUGCCAGCAGCCGCGGUAAUGCGGAGGAUCCGAGCGUUAUCCGGAUUUAUUGGGUUUAAAGGGAGCGUAGAUGGAUGUUUAAGUCAGUUGUGAAAGUUUGCGGCUCAACCGUAAAAUUGCAGUUGAUACUGGAUAUCUUGAGUGCAGUUGAGGCAGGCGGAAUUCGUGGUGUAGCGGUGAAAUGCUUAGAUAUCACGAAGAACUCCGAUUGCGAAGGCAGCCUGCUAAGCUGCAACUGACAUUGAGGCUCGAAAGUGUGGGUAUCAAACAGGAUUAGAUACCCUGGUAGUCCACACGGUAAACGAUGAAUACUCGCUGUUUGCGAUAUACAGCAAGCGGCCAAGCGAAAGCGUUAAGUAUUCCACCUGGGGAGUACGCCGGCAACGGUGAAACUCAAAGGAAUUGACGGGGGCCCGCACAAGCGGAGGAACAUGUGGUUUAAUUCGAUGAUACGCGAGGAACCUUACCCGGGCUUAAAUUGCAGAUGAAUUACGGUGAAAGCCGUAAGCCGCAAGGCAUCUGUGAAGGUGCUGCAUGGUUGUCGUCAGCUCGUGCCGUGAGGUGUCGGCUUAAGUGCCAUAACGAGCGCAACCCUUGUUGUCAGUUACUAACAGGUUCCGCUGAGGACUCUGACAAGACUGCCAUCGUAAGAUGUGAGGAAGGUGGGGAUGACGUCAAAUCAGCACGGCCCUUACGUCCGGGGCUACACACGUGUUACAAUGGGGGGUACAGAGGGCCGCUACCACGCGAGUGGAUGCCAAUCCCCAAAACCUCUCUCAGUUCGGACUGGAGUCUGCAACCCGACUCCACGAAGCUGGAUUCGCUAGUAAUCGCGCAUCAGCCACGGCGCGGUGAAUACGUUCCCGGGCCU